UACCAGAUCAUGCUGGAUCCAUCCCUGAAUAAAUCGCUUGAUAGCAAAUUGAGACGAACUUUUUUACACAUUUUGCUGGGCUGCCUAUGCUUAUAGGAACAAGAAAAUUGAAACUAAUUUUUUCUUAUGUCAACUCGAACGGUAUGCGCCAGCGUACAUAGUGACAACAACAGCAGAAAGCUGCGGAUUGAGAUGGAUUCAACUGCCUGAAAAAGGAAAACUUCGACGUUUCCAGCAAAGGCUGAUUUAGACUACACAACGUUUGCCUAAAACUGUCGCAUGCAACCUGCUCACAACUUGUAUUAGCCAUUUCCCAAAGUCCUGGAUCUAGUUGUGCGAAUCCCAGGUUGGAGGGACAAGAAAUAUGGCAGCACACAUUUAAAUUUUAAUGUUUACUGUAAAAAGGAGAUAUUUCAUUUCUGGUCGUGUAAAAAGUUGAUAUUUGAUAGUAGAUACUUCUACUCUUUCACAUAUUUGAUUCCUGCCACCAUAUAUUUUGUCCCUCCAAACGAUCCCAGAAUGCACUGUGAUCUCGAUUUUGGGAAAAGGCUAAUUGAGUUGUACUGUGUAAAUCGAGACUUACGACAACUUACGUGAGUUGUAUGCUUGAUUUACACAGUACAACUCUUGUUGUAAGCAUGUUGCAUGCGACAGUUUUAGGCAAAAGUUUUGUAGUUUAAAUCGGCCUUUAUACUAUCCUCCCGACAGAGGACCUUCGCUCGAAGCGUCGGAGAUUUUACUUGUAUUUUUCAGGUAUAGUUGAAUCCUUCUCAAUUCGUAGCUUUCUAUUUCUCUCUUGUUGGGGACCGUUCAUUAUUUAUAACUGGGGUUGGUACCGAAGGCGAAGAGAAGCGAAAAACACUGUAAAUUUUUUAUUUAUCCAAUCUUUAGGGUCGGCCAUGGGGUUUUGGGUAAACAGGAUCUAAUGGGUAUUUAAUUCGAGUAUACUGUAUAUUUACUUAAAUGUUAUGACUAAUUUUGGGUAUUAGGUAUACAGCUUCUGAUUGCUUUAGGUAUUUUGUAACAUUUUGACCGUAUUUUGAUCCAUAUUUAUCAGGUAUUUAGGAUACCACGACCCCCGCCCCCUGGCUGACCCCUAAUCUUAACAUUGGUCAAAAUAAUGUUUACCCAACCCAUGUGUUACUGUACUUCAUAAUAAUAAACACACAAGAUUAUGGUGACAGAAAUCAAGUUGCCUAAAUUUUAAAAGCUCACUCAAACUCACCGAGUGUGCCAAAGCAGGCACGUCCUUCAUCAAUCACGGAUGGUCUAUUUUGGUACAGAAUGUAUUGUACACAUUUUUCUUCAUAUUUUCCAAUGCAUGGUAAUUUUGGUUUUAUUUUAUAGCUGACAAACAGCCAUAUUUUUUUUUACCCAACCCAUGAGCUAGUCAGAAACUUGAUUACCCAACCCGUAUUUCUUUCGGUACCAACCCCGGGUAUAAAUAAUGAACGGUCCCUUAAUUUAGCACGAAAUACAAGACUGCUACAUAGGAUGAAAGUAUUUUCUUACUCUGAUCAAGUUGAUCACAAUCUGCUGCACGAUAUUGUUUAGUUAAACUCGCUGUAAAAGCCCAUUUCCACUCGAGAAAAAUUUUUCACGGACAGAAAAGAUUCCGAAAGUAUAAUAUUGUUAAAAGUUGAAAUUUUUGUGUUGGAAAAUUUGUGUUGGUCAAUCACAUUUUACAAAAUUUUGUUUCUGCGGAAUAUUUUCCUGAGUGGAAAUGGGCCUUAAAGGGUGGAAUACAAAUUGCACAAGGGAAAGGACAACUUAUUUGACAGAACGAACUGUAAUGUUAUUAAUAAGCGCAUCAUUUGUAAAAAUCUCGAAGUAGUUACCGCAUUAUUUGCUGCGCAGUAAUGUACUGGUGUUCUUGUAUGAACAGUGACUAUUAACUGACUGCUGGCUCAGAGUUAUGAGACAUGCAAAAGGUGUUGUCUUAAAUGCAACUGUAAUAGCACCAAUGAACUGGAAUUUAAUUAAUAAAACUCAGUUUCACAUCUUGUUA
Paramuricea clavata is the source of this 2008-nucleotide non-coding RNA. The record is from the annotation of a GenBank genome assembly. NCBI's taxonomy places the organism in Eukaryota, Metazoa, Cnidaria, Anthozoa, Malacalcyonacea, Plexauridae.